UACGGGAGGCAGCAGUGGGGAAUAUUGCACAAUGGGCGAAAGCCUGAUGCAGCUAUGCCGCGUGUAUGAAGAAGGCCUUAGGGUUGUAAAGUACUUUCAUCGGGGAGGAAAAAACAAAACUAAUAAUUUUAUUUCUUGACGUUACCCGAAAAAGAAGCACCGGCUAACUCCGUGCCAGCAGCCGCGGUAAUACGGAGGGUGCUAGCGUUAAUCAGAAUUACUGGGCGUAAAGAGCACGUAGGUGGUUUUUUUAAAGUCAGAUGUGAAAUCCCUGGGCUUAACCUAGGAACUGCAUUUUGAAACUGAAAUACUAGAGUAUCGUAGAGGGAGGUAGAAUUCUAGGUGUAGCGGUGAAAUGCGUAGAUAUCUGGAGGAAUACCUGUGGCGAAAGCGGCCUCCUAAACCGGAAUACUGACACUGAGGUGCGAAAGCGUGGGGAGCAAACAGGGAUUAGAUACCCGU
RNAcentral lists this ribosomal RNA (462 nucleotides) under uncultured bacterium. RNAcentral's name for it is "bacterial SSU rRNA". It matches the Rfam family "Bacterial small subunit ribosomal RNA", at positions 340 to 789 of the family's 1533-position model. The record is from RNAcentral.